Monodelphis domestica (gray short-tailed opossum) is the source of this 98-nucleotide microRNA precursor. Ensembl annotates it as mdo-mir-759. Its record names the gene mdo-mir-759. The record is from Ensembl. NCBI's taxonomy places the organism in Eukaryota, Metazoa, Chordata, Mammalia, Didelphimorphia, Didelphidae.
GGAUUAUAAUAAAUUAAAUACCUAAACUGGCAGAGUGCAAACCAUUUUGACUUAGAUCUAAAUGUUUGCAUUGGCUGUUUAAACAUUUAAUUUGUUGG